GGCGGACGGGUGAGUAACACGUGGGAAUCUGCCCUUUGGUUUUCGGGAUAACCGCGGGAAACUGCGGCUAAUACCGAAUGCCCUCGCGAGAGGAAAGAUUUAUCGCCAGAGGAGGAGCCCGCGUCCGAUUAGGUAGUUGGUGGGGUAAAGGCCUACCAAGCCGACGAUCGGUGGCUGGUCUGAGAGGAUGAUCAGCCACACUGGGACUGAGAUACGGCCCAGACUCCUACGGGAGGCAGCAGUGGGGAAUAUUGGACAAUGGGGGCAACCCUGAUCCAGCAAUGCCGCGUGAGUGAUGAAGGCCUUAGGGUUGUAAAGCUCUUUUGCCAGGGAAGAUGAUGACUGUACCUGGAGAAUAAGCCCCGGCUAACUUCGUGCCAGCAGCCGCGGUAAUACGAAGGGGGCUAGCGUUGUUCGGAAUUACUGGGCGUAAAGGGCGCGUAGGCGGCAUUUAAGUUAGGUGUGAAAGUCCUGGGCUCAACCUGGGGACUGCACUUAAUACUGAGUGGCUUGAAUUCGGGAGAGGAUAGCGGAAUUCCCAGUGUAAGGUGAAAUUCGUAGAUCUUGGGAAGAACACCGGUGGCGAAGGCGGCUAUCUGG
This 600-nucleotide ribosomal RNA is filed under the name uncultured bacterium. Its description in RNAcentral is "bacterial SSU rRNA". It matches the Rfam family "Bacterial small subunit ribosomal RNA", at positions 97 to 732 of the family's 1533-position model. The record is from RNAcentral.